GAGCGCUCGGCACUACAGCGGCUACUGCAUAUCGAUGCCCCUGGGUCCGCUGAGAUUCUGAGUCCCAGGAGGUAGCUGGCAGAACUGCCUGAAUGUCACUCUUAUUAACUGGAAAAUGGGGCCCCCAUCUCCUGACACCCAAGAGAACAGAUGUCAGAUGUCUCUUCCCCACCAGGUUCACCAACCAGUUUCUGCUGACACUGGAACACAAUGGCAAUUGUUUCCUUAGCUUCUCGCUGGCCACCAUAUUGUCUGUGCGGCUGAUCGUCUUCCAGUUUAUCUACUUUACAAACCCAAGUAGGUCAUCUAAUAUUUAAUCAUCUUUUACAUUUAUGAGGCUGUAACAAGUCCUGCACUGGACAUUCUACUUGGGAAACCUGGGGAGAUGCAAAAAAGGAAGCAGUCCCGCUGCAGAAGAGAGGAAAGGAGGCCAGGGAAACCACAGCAGGUGCACACACACGUACACGCCUGCACACCACGGGGACAGCCAGCUAGCCCUUGUGAGCCAACACACCAUCCACCAGGCCCAAGGUUUCAGAUCACAGACAGGCCCAAGGCUCUGAACAGAUACAGCCGACAGGAUGUGGCUCCUCGGCCCACGGUGGCCAGGUAUCCACAUUAGACCCGUAACCACUCAGCACAGGACAACGCUGGUGUAGUCAGGAGGAUACAGUUCAAGCAAACUCUCCUCAGCAGGCCCAGCGCAGGUGCUCCUCACAGUGAGAGGAGCUCCUUGACAGUGAGAAGCGCUCUCUCCCCAGCUCCCUCCCCAGCGCGCUCUGUGACAGGCUUCUCCUCAACACAUUGCUCCGGGCCCUGAAGGAAGCCCAGUGGGCUACUUAGACCAAAGGAAGGGUCCACUUGCUCCUCCCUCGGUCUCAACCUGCCACUCCAUCUGUGUGACCUUGGGGAGCUGCCCUCCCCUUCCUCUUCUGUGCAAUCUGUCACAUGGAUUCCUAGCCUGACUAUGUUGUGGUAAAUCUACAAACAGCCUGAAAUUCUCCAGUAGAGCGCGCCCCCUCAGGCUAGUGAUGGCAGGCCAUUCUCUUGGCUACCUUUCCUGAGCACCAAAGGACAAUGACCCAGGGAACAUGUGUCACCUGUGUUCCUUACCAUUACCUGCUGGGAAUCAGUAUAAACUCAGGCCACUGAGAGCCAAGACGCCUGCCUCCUUCUGCAGCUUGUUCCGGGUCCUUAGCAUGCAUGGGAAGGAGCCUUCGUAGGUCCACGUCAUAGGUGAGACCCUUCAGAAUGCUCUGAGGGUGACACUGAGACCACCGACCUUCAUACCUGUGAUAUAAACACCUGUAUACACCCUAUCAGGAUGACAGUGCACAUACAAGCCACCCUCAUAGACCAUCUGCUGUCCAGCAUCCCUAGAGGUGCAGACAGAAGCCAAGACACAGGGAGGUGUGAUUACCAAAGGCCACCCACCUCCAGCUCGCGGCGUCCUGGCCAAGUAUGAUAGCUUCCUUUUGGUGGUUGUUUGGGGGUUUGUUUGUUUUUCAAAACAGAGGGGUUUUAUUUGUUUUUCAAGAUAGAAUUUCUCUGUGUAGCCCUGGCUGUCCUGAACUUGCUCUGCAAAUCAGGCUGAUGUUGAACUCAUU
RNAcentral lists this long non-coding RNA (1607 nucleotides) under Mus pahari (shrew mouse). Its description in RNAcentral is "phosphatidylinositol transfer protein, membrane- associated 2, opposite strand 1 (MGP_PahariEiJ_G0003184.1)". Lineage: Eukaryota; Metazoa; Chordata; Mammalia; Rodentia; Muridae. The record is from RNAcentral.